AUGGCGGUAAGCAACAUCGUGUGCGAGUGGUUGCGCGCCCUCGGGCUGGGCCAGUACGCGGAAAGCUUCCUCGACAAUGGAUACGACGAUCUGGAGAUCUGCAAGCAGGUUGGCGAUCCGGACCUGGACGCGAUCGGGGUACAGAAUCCGGCCCACCGGAGCAAGCUGCUCAAGAGUGUGCGGCUGCUGCGGGAGAAGGGUGCGGCCAGCGUGUACUUUCAGCUGAACGAUCCGAAGUCACUGCUGUCGGACAACAGUGACAGUUUGGAGCGUGACAGUUCGCCCCUGAUGCUGAGCGAGCUGGAGGCAUUGCUGCAGGAGCAGCUGAAGGCGGACGGCGUUUGUUUGACGGCACAUCCAUACUCCACACCGGAUGGUGCACGAGGACACCUGGAAGGUCUUGCAUCGGUGUACUGCGAAAUGUUGCUCGCACCGUUCGGUGAGGUCCUUACGGCGCUGGAGGAAGCACGACAGCGUGCCUGGUCGGAACGGAGUCCCCACAGUUCGUCCGGCGGCGGUGGAGGGUUGAUACGGGGCCACCGUGGUAAUUCGUGCCACGGCGGUUUGCCCAACAGUCACAGUCAGCCAAUCUACGUGCCCGGCAAAUAUUCGCCCUCCAGCUGCCUGUCUGAUAAGGAGGAGGACGAAAUUUAUGGAUUCGGAUACGGUGUGUUCGCUCCAAGGGUGGCCAGAACGACCCUCCAGUCACAGCAAGCGCAGCAAGGGCAGCAGCAGCAACAGCAGCAGCAACAGCAGCAGCAACCACAACAACCCCAGCCACAACAAUCACAAAACUCCGCCAAUGUACCUGCCAACAGUGCUGCUGUUCAGCAAAGCUGCCUCAGCCCACGCUCAGCGUACUUCUACGAAUUUCCACCAACGGACGGCCGAGAGACCAGCAAAAAGCGUACGACCCUGGCGAGGCUUUUGAGAGGACUAAAGACUGUAAAUAGGCGUGAUAGAUCGAAUCAAAACACCACCGGCGGCACUGCAACGCAGUCAAGGUCACAGAACGAAAGACUGAGACACUUCCAAAUGAAUGGCGGUGGACCGCAGCCAAGUUUCGAAGAAACCAUACAGAGGCUAAAAAUACAGGAAGCACUUCGGAAGAAGGAAAAAUUUCAACGCGAACACGAAGAGAUACUUCGAGACAUUCGGCAAGGUUUGUUGCAGCUGAGCAGAGACUCGAGAGACGACACGUACAUGUACGACGAUGCGGUAACGAAUGUGAUGCGAAUGCCUCAUCACCAAGGUCACUGGUACGAUGAGCCACCGUACGAGAGUGAUCCAGACGACUUCCUGAUGUCCGGCAUGCGGCAAAUCGGUGCCGCUGGGUACGCGGGCGAUGGUGGAGGAGGCGGCGGUGGCGAUAGUGGCGGAGGACCAAGCGCUACCAUUCAGGGUGGUCGCGUCUGCUACAGCACGAACGGAAGGGAAGGGCAGAGUGUGAUAUCGUUGCGGUCCGCGGGUGACAUUUCCAUACCACAGCGGGGUCCCCGGCGGGGCCUGAUCGUACCCCAGCAACCACCAAACCCUCCAACCAUUAUACCCCUCAAACAUGCCCGAUCGCACGAUCGGGAAAGCGGAGAUUAUGCCGGUUCAAUAUCGGAUCUACACAGCGUUACCUCCCGGUUGAGCCAGGUUUCGAUCGGCAUGAAUAACUGUACGGCCCGCUAUCGAACGCUCAGUGCCGGGCUGGGUGACGAAUCACCAUCACCAUCGCCCACACCAUCAUCCGAGUACGAUGACAUCCUGCAAGCGAACGCACUGCAGCUUCAGAAGCAUCUGCAUCACCAGCAGCUGAAGCGCCUGGAAGGACAGUGUGGUGGUGGUGGUGCUGGUGGUGUCGGCAUCCCGGGGCAACCCGGGUCAACAUCCGGCCUCAUCGGCAGUGCGGCAUCCUUGGUACCGGCAGGUUCGUCCGCAGCAGCAGCAGCAUCAGCAACGACGACGACAGUUGGCAUUAGUUCGGUGGGAAACACAUCCGGCACCGUUGGUGGUAGUAUAGCACUCACAUCCGGUGGUGCAUCCGGUGCCAAUCUGCCAUCAUUGCUCGGCGGUACGGUCGGUGGAAUCGGCGGGACGGACAUCAGCAGCGCAAGCACAAGCAACAGCACGACCACGACAAAUGGCAGCGGCAAUAGUAGCAGUAGCGCGAGCAGCAACAACAGCACCAGUACAAAAAACACCGUCAACAAUCUGAAAAGCCUGAAGGCGGCCAAAAACAGGAACAAUCUAUCGUCGUCACUGGCGGCGGCCGCGUCGUCAGCGGCGGUCUCGCACAACAAUAAAAAUUUAAGCAUAAGUCAACAGAUAGCUUUAGUACAUCACUCUAAUGACGCUCGAACAUCGCCAAAGGAUCAUCUACUGUUCGGUGGAGCGGAUCGCAACAAUCGUGAUUACAGUAACUGCUUGGAUAGCAUCAGCGACCAAACGUUCCAACAUUCGGCCAGCUCGGUCGAAAGCUUACCGAGUGCUUCCGGAUCAAGCACUCAAGCCCUGGUUCGCCCAGGUAGUCCGCACAGUUCCCUGUCGGCGGAGGAUCGCACCACAAUGCUUCCAAUCUGCCGAGCGAUCGCACUCGUCGAUAGUUGCCCUAGCCCGUACGACAAGGAAGCGCUACGGUUUAAGAAAGGAGACAUCAUUGAUGUACUCUCGAUGAAUGCGUCCGGUGUGUGGCGAGGCUACGCGAACGGUCGGUUAGGACACUUUAAGUUCAUUAGUGUCGAGGUAUUACCCGAUCUUCCUACGACGGGUUUGAAAGGAUACGGUGGAAAGCUGGUCAGCCGGCACCGUUUACCAACGAGCUGUCCGACGAGUGUCGAAGAGCUGCUGCUACGGAUCGGUCUGAAAGAGUACACAUCCGUGUUUGUGCUCAACGGGUACGAAGACCUGGAGCUGUUCAAGGAGUUGGAACCGUCCGAUUUAGAUUAUCUAGGCAUUGGCAAUACGGAGCAUCGGGCGAAGAUACUGGCCGCCGUUCAGCUGCUGCACGAUUUGGACUCAACGUCCGAUGGAGAUGUGGCCGGUUCCAGCUCGGAGAACGAUGAAGGGUUACGGUUGAAUCACGUCAACUGUUCCGGUGGUCUUGGCGGUGGACUGAGCGGCGGCAGUGGCAGUACGACGAGGAGUAGCGGCGACCACCAGACGUCACCGUUUGGCCGGAGGCACUUUCCACGAGAUUCCGGUUGUUACGAAGGUUCGCCGGUCCCGUCAUCGCAAGGCUCGCACAAUCCACAUUCCUACCAGCAGCAGCAGCAGCAGCAACUGCACCAUCUUCAACAACAGCAACAAUCGCACAACAACGGUCAACCGUUGCAACAGUCACAGCAGCAGCAACACACCAACAUGGCGACGUUAAUGGCGGCGCAUCAUCAUCACCAUCACCACCAUCACCAGCAGCACCAUCUGUCCGAUAAUGAAACGAACAACCUGGACUCGGUCGUUGCCCAGUGCUCGAACGAAAUACUGAAGCGUGUCGAGUCGGCCCGCCGGUUCAACGGGACGACCGAGCGUGGUUCUUCGAAAACGAUGAACAGUCGGACGAUGUCGGCAAAAAAGGGUGGCCUGCUUGGUGGGGGUGGAAGCGAUGGGGGCGGUGGGAUGGUGAUUGGUGUUGGUGGUGGAAGUGUUACCGGGGGCAGUAGCGGGGGUGCGUUGAGUGAAAAGUCGAGCGAUUCCGGUGUCAGCAGUAGCAGCCUAUCGUCCGGUCCGGCGAAGGGUAGCGGCGGUCUCUAGCGGCCAGCGGUCUGUGCGACAAUGAUGACCACGUACGAAGAUGCGACCGUGCGGAUGCUUUCCUGCUGUCCUUCGUUGCUUCCACCGGAGCUGUUCGAGGGAACGGAACGAAGCCUAACGUCCGGUAUCGAGCGGUGUGUGGGUGUGAGUGA
Molecule: RNA transcript, 3890 nt
Organism: Anopheles maculipalpis
Lineage: Eukaryota; Metazoa; Arthropoda; Insecta; Diptera; Culicidae
Gene: SKIP
Exons: 18
Source: RefSeq, a predicted model, not a curated record